RNAcentral lists this ribosomal RNA (271 nucleotides) under uncultured bacterium. Its description in RNAcentral is "partial 16S ribosomal RNA". It matches the Rfam family "Bacterial small subunit ribosomal RNA", at positions 83 to 353 of the family's 1533-position model. The record is from RNAcentral.
UUUAGAUGGCGACCGGCGCACGGGUGAGUAACACGUAUCCAACCUGCCGAUGACUCGGGGAUAGCCUUUCGAAAGAAAGAUUAAUACCCGAUGGCAUAGUUCUUCCGCAUGGUAGAACUAUUAAAGAAUUUCGGUCAUCGAUGGGGAUGCGUUCCAUUAGGUUGUUGGCGGGGUAACGGCCCACCAAGCCUUCGAUGGAUAGGGGUUCUGAGAGGAAGGUCCCCCACAUUGGAACUGAGACACGGCCCAGACUCCUACGGGAGGCAGCAUG